UACGGAGGGUGCGAGCGUUGUCCGGAAUCACUGGGCGUAAAGGGCGCGUAGGCGGCUUGGGAAGUCCGUGGUGAAAGCUCGAGGCUCAACUUCGAGUCGGCCAUGGAUACUCCUGAGCUCGAGUCGACUAGAGGCAGAUGGAAUUCCGGGUGUAGCGGUGGAAUGCGUAGAGAUCCGGAAGAACACCGGUGGCGAAGGCGGUCUGCUGGGGUCGAACUGACGCUGAGGCGCGACAGCGUGGGGAGCAAACAGG
Molecule: ribosomal RNA, 253 nt
Filed under: uncultured prokaryote
Also listed under: 1 other name
Description: partial 16S ribosomal RNA
Rfam family: Bacterial small subunit ribosomal RNA
Source: RNAcentral